AUGGGUUGCUGGGGUUGUAUAACUGUGCCUAGAGGGCGGGGUUCCUGUACAUUCCUACUUCACCAGAUAACCUGCCCCCAACACCGCUUCUGCCAGACAGAUGGAACUCUCCAACGUGAAAAUCUGCGCAGCCAUUCCAACGAGCGGGACUCUGCCUGGUGUUGGCCGAAGGAUGCCGAAGAAAGACUGAUGAUGGACUGGGACGCUCUUACCCCAAGAUUGCGGGCGCGCUAUCCACAGAAGUAG
This 246-nucleotide long non-coding RNA is filed under the name Canis lupus familiaris (dog). Its description in RNAcentral is "lncRNA (ENSCAFG00030011542.1)". Lineage: Eukaryota; Metazoa; Chordata; Mammalia; Carnivora; Canidae. The record is from RNAcentral.